This 608-nucleotide ribosomal RNA is filed under the name Entoloma carneum. RNAcentral's name for it is "partial large subunit ribosomal RNA". It matches the Rfam family "Eukaryotic large subunit ribosomal RNA", at positions 38 to 629 of the family's 3401-position model. The record is from RNAcentral. Lineage: Eukaryota; Fungi; Basidiomycota; Agaricomycetes; Agaricales; Entolomataceae.
GCAUAUCAAUAAGCGGAGGAAAAGAAACUAACAAGGAUUCCCCUAGUAACUGCGAGUGAAGCGGGAAGAGCUCAAAUUUAAAAUCUAAUAGUCUAUGACUGUUUGAGUUGUAAUCUAGAGAAGCACUAUCCGUGCUGGACCAUGUAUAAGUCUCCUGGAAUGGGGCGUCAUAGAGGGUGAGAAUCCCGUCUUUGACAUGGACUACCAGUGCAUUGUGAUGUGCUCUCAACGAGUCGAGUUGUUUGGGAAUGCAGCUCUAAAUGGGUGGUAAAUUCCAUCUAAAGCUAAAUAUUGGCGAGAGACCGAUAGCGAACAAGUACCGUGAGGGAAAGAUGAAAAGAACUUUGAAAAGAGAGUUAAACAGUACGUGAAAUUGUUGAAAGGGAAACGCUUAAAGUCAGUCACAUUGAUCAGGGAUCAACCUUGCUUUUGCUUGGUGUAUUUUCUGAUCAAUGGGUCAGCAUCAAUUUUAAUCAGUGGACAAAGGCCGAGGGAAUGUGGCAUCAUUUGAUGUGUUAUAGCCCUCUGUCAUAUACAUUGGUUGGGAUUGAGGAACUCACCAUGCCSCAAGGCCGGGUUUUAAACCACGUUCAUGCUUAGGAUGCUGG